UACACUCCUGCGGGAGGCAGCAGUGGGGAAUAUUGGACAAUGGGCGCAAGCCUGAUCCAGCCAUGCCGCGUGAGUGAUGAAGGCCCUAGGGUUGUAAAGCUCUUUCACCGGUGAAGAUAAUGACGGUAACCGGAGAAGAAGCCCCGGCUAACUUCGUGCCAGCAGCCGCGGUAAUACGAAGGGGGCUAGCGUUGUUCGGAUUUACUGGGCGUAAAGCGCACGUAGGCGGACUAUUAAGUCAGGGGUGAAAUCCCGGGGCUCAACCCCGGAACUGCCUUUGAUACUGGUAGUCUUGAGUUCGAGAGAGGUGAGUGGAAUUCCGAGUGUAGAGGUGAAAUUCGUAGAUAUUCGGAGGAACACCAGUGGCGAAGGCGGCUCACUGGCUCGAUACUGACGCUGAGGUGCGAAAGCGUGGGGAGCAAACAGGAUUAGAAACCCGGUAGUCCCAUGAU
This 452-nucleotide ribosomal RNA is filed under the name uncultured organism. RNAcentral describes it as "partial 16S ribosomal RNA". It matches the Rfam family "Bacterial small subunit ribosomal RNA", at positions 332 to 801 of the family's 1533-position model. The record is from RNAcentral.